GCGGUGGAGGCAGGGGCACCAGGGUGGCAAUAUCAAUGUCAACUUUCAUUCUCUACCUGGGAGAACUUGCCGUCUAUGAAAGUUAAGAGUUGCAGCUAAGCUCUAUUGUUUCUUAGCUACAAACUAUGAGGAAAACAUACGAGGAAAUCCCAGGAAGAAUUAAGCUUUCAAUUUUCUUUUAAUUUCUUUGCUCACAAAUAAAAUCAGCGUUAAAGCCUCUAGAAGAAAAUCAGUACUGGUCAUAUCCUACUUAGAUGUCAUUUUCAAAGAAAGAAGUCUUAUCAAAAUUGAAUGAAAGAAGAAAACUACAAGAAAAUGACCUAAAGGAAAGGGAAUAAAAGAAAACACGAUCUUUUCUGGACGUUCAGUAUUAAAAGUUUUCAUGCUCGUUGAAAUGAAAAUUACAAAAUCAGAACUACAUAGUAGAUUUUGCAAGCAUGCAGCCAGAAGUGUAAGGGCUGGUGGACUUUAGGGGCCUAUGACUAGGAGACAGACUGGAAAACCAGAGACAGUAUUGCGAACAUAAGCUACCUUUGCCAAAUAAAUUCUGGAACUUACUUCUUGAACUGAGAAGUUCAGAGAUGUUUUGGGACAGGACGCCAGACAGUUUGGAAUGACUUACUUGAUCUUACUGAAAAAAAAAUACAAUGUCUUUGAUUACUCCUCUCAGAGUUAGUCUUAUUUCCUACUUUAAUUUUUAAGGUUUUACCUUUGCAUAUUAUUGUAUACUUGAACAUUCAUAAUAAUUCUUAAUUUUUUCAUAAAAAUGUAUUUAUCUGCGUGUGUGUAUGUGUGUACGUGUGUGCUGUUUGUGCAUCUGUGUCUAUGUUUUUAUAAAUAUCCCCUAAAUAGAUUGUGGUAGCUUGUUUCUUGUUUUCAGGUUGGCUACUAUCAAUUUCUCUCCUCCCUGUAUCUAUCUAUUGCUCUACUCCCUUGAAUCUGGGCUCAUUUGUGACAGAUUUGCCGAACAGAAUAUAGUGGAAGUGACGCUUCAUGACUUCCAACACUUCCCACACUUUGAAGCUUCUACCUGGGUCUCCUGGAAUUCUUUGUCUUGAAAUGCCACGCUGUUUGAAACCCAAGCCACACUAUGGCUAUGUGGAGAGACAAAAGAGGGAGAAAUCCCUGACCAGCCCAUAGGUAUUCUAGCUAUCCUAGCCUAGGAGCCAGGCAUGUGAGUAAAGAAGCUUUCAGAUAAUUCCAGCCUCAUCUGUCAUAUUUCUGCAACCAUUUGAAGGACACAAAGGUGAGUAAUGCUCAGCUUCGUCAACCCCCAGAAAAAUGAAACAUAACAAUAAGUGACGUUUUAAGCUACUAAGUUUUGGUGUGGUGUGUUACACACAGCAAUAAAUAACUGGAACAUACAAUAGACAUCUGAAGAGAGACCUAACAUUUCUUACUUACAUCAUAAUACUAUAAAAUUCAUC
Molecule: long non-coding RNA, 1427 nt
Organism: Pan troglodytes (chimpanzee)
Lineage: Eukaryota; Metazoa; Chordata; Mammalia; Primates; Hominidae
Exons: 3
Source: RefSeq, a predicted model, not a curated record